UUCCAUGACGGCAGACCACUCCACUUUUUGGACUGCCGGACAUGAAAGAAAGGAGGAAAGGCCCUGCUCGGGCUGCGGCAGUGUGGAGACCUGCCGUAAGGCACGAGGCAAUAGCCUGUGCGAGGACGUUCCAUGCGGAGGCAGAACGUUCAGAGCGAAUAAGCAUGGCG
RNAcentral lists this non-coding RNA (170 nucleotides) under unclassified sequences. RNAcentral's name for it is "malK-I RNA". It matches the Rfam family "malK-I RNA". The record is from RNAcentral.